Molecule: ribosomal RNA, 600 nt
Filed under: bacterium Ca.S20
Lineage: Bacteria
Description: bacterial SSU rRNA
Rfam family: Bacterial small subunit ribosomal RNA
Source: RNAcentral
GAGCGGUAGAGAUCUUUCGGGAUCUUGAGAGCGGCGUACGCCUUUNNGAACACGUGUGCAACCUGCCUUUAUCAGGGGGAUAGCCUUUCGAAAGGAAGAUUAAUACUCCAUAAUAUAAUUUACGGCAUCGUGAAUUAUUGAAAACUCCGGUGGAUAGAGAUGGGCACGCGCAAGAUUAGAUAGUUGGUGAGGUAACGGCUCACCAAGUCGAUGAUCUUUAGGGGGCCUGAGAGGGUGAUCCCCCACACUGGUACUGAGACACGGACCAGACUCCUACGGGAGGCAGCAGUGAGGAAUAUUGGACAAUGGGUUAGCGCCUGAUCCAGCCAUCCCGCGUGAAGGACGACGGCCCUAUGGGUUGUAAACUUCUUUUGUACAGGGAUAAACCUAUCUACGUGUAGAUAGCUGAAGGUACUGUACGAAUAAGCACCGGCUAACUCCGUGCCAGCAGCCGCGGUAAUACGGAGGGUGCAAGCGUUAUCCGGAUUUAUUGGGUUUAAAGGGUCCGUAGGCGGAUGCGUAAGUCAGUGGUGAAAUCUCACAGCUCAACUGUGAAACUGCCAUUGAUACUGCGUGUCUUGAGUAAGGUAGAAGUAGCUG